UCUUUCACAGGAAAAUUAAACUACAUGAAUUUAAUAUAGAAAAGUAUUUUGAAUUAUUAGUACUAUGUGAGAGAGAGAGCACUAGUUUUCCUCGUAUACAAUAAUUAGUGCUUUGAAAUCCUGCCUCAUGGUGCAAGCUAAAACGACCCUCUCCUGUGGGAUAGCUCAAAGAGGAAAGGCCGGUCUUUUCCCCUGCAUCCAGGAACCAGAAGCCUUGUGUAGAGCAGCAAUUUCCCAUCUAAUACUGCAUCAUAUGAAGAGGCUCAAUAAUCUGGUAGCAGCCCAGCUCCCCCAUCGCAUUUCUGCUUUUUUAACCAUAAUUUAAAAUUCAAGUUUACAAUCUUAUAAAUAAUUAAUUAUUAGAAAAUAAUCAAAUUUAUUAUUUAUAUUCUAAUAGAAGCCACUGAAGGAUGACAAAUGCAUCUCAGAAACCAACCACUCUCAUUUUCUGUACUUGCAAGCUGAUGGAACACUUGGACCAGAAUGUUGUAACAAUUUAAUAGAAAUCCUUGGAAGAACAUCCAUGGCUGGCAUUAAAAUAUGUUUUGUGGAGUAAUUUUGAUGUUUUAGCAAGCUCCUGCUCUUCAAUUCCUUCCCCCCAAAAAUCCAUUUGCACCAAAAAAGCAGAGUGGCCCAAAGAGUCACUAGAUGCACACCUGAAAUGCAAGUGAAAAGAAACCCAUUCCUCACAUAAUUUGGUAGUGAAAGACGUAACUAGCUAUUUGUAUAUUAUGUUCCUUAGA
Molecule: long non-coding RNA, 743 nt
Filed under: Carica papaya (papaya)
Lineage: Eukaryota; Viridiplantae; Streptophyta; Magnoliopsida; Brassicales; Caricaceae
Description: long non-coding RNA (CPAP_LNC011336)
Source: RNAcentral